UUUUUGGUAUUCAAAAAAUACAAAAAUAUUUUCUCAACCUCUUUGAAUGAUGAUAGAUCUAUGAAAAAUAUUCUCAUCAAUUUAUUAAUUGAUUUGAGAUUUAUUUGAGAUUUUAGUUCAAUUAGGUUUUUUUAUGCAUUUUUAAUUGAUUAAAAAUAGUUUCUGACUUUUAAAAAUGCUAAAAAAAAUUGUCAAACUUUGUUUGACCUUGUU
This 213-nucleotide long non-coding RNA is filed under the name Lathyrus oleraceus (garden pea). Its description in RNAcentral is "Pisum sativum (pea) long non-coding RNA (PSAT_LNC033756)". Lineage: Eukaryota; Viridiplantae; Streptophyta; Magnoliopsida; Fabales; Fabaceae. The record is from RNAcentral.